RNAcentral lists this ribosomal RNA (253 nucleotides) under uncultured bacterium. RNAcentral describes it as "partial 16S ribosomal RNA". It matches the Rfam family "Bacterial small subunit ribosomal RNA", at positions 524 to 776 of the family's 1533-position model. The record is from RNAcentral.
UACGUAGGCAGCAAGCGUUGUUCGGAAUUACUGGGCGUAAAGAGUGUGUAGGCGGUGCUCUAAGUUCGGUGUGAAAUCUCCCGGCUCAACUGGGAGGGUGCGCCGAAAACUGGGGUGCUGGAGCGCGGGAGAGGAAAGCGGAAUUCCUGGUGUAGCGGUGAAGUGCGUAGAUAUCAGGAGGAACACCGGCGGUGUAGACGGCUUUCUGGACCGUAGCUGACGCUGAGACACGAAAGCGUGGGUAGCAAACAGG